RNAcentral lists this ribosomal RNA (497 nucleotides) under uncultured bacterium. RNAcentral's name for it is "partial 16S ribosomal RNA". It matches the Rfam family "Bacterial small subunit ribosomal RNA", at positions 28 to 507 of the family's 1533-position model. The record is from RNAcentral.
GAUGAACGCUGGCGGCGUGCCUAAUACAUGCAAGUCGAGCGAACAGACGAGGAGCUUGCUCCUCUGACGUUAGCGGCGGACGGGUGAGUAACACGUGGAUAACCUACCUAUAAGACUGGGAUAACUUCGGGAAACCGGAGCUAAUACCGGAUAAUAUAUUGAACCGCAUGGUUCAAUAGUGAAAGACGGUUUUGCUGUCACUUAUAGAUGGAUCCGCGCCGCAUUAGCUAGUUGGUAAGGUAACGGCUUACCAAGGCAACGAUGCGUAGCCGACCUGAGAGGGUGAUCGGCCACACUGGACCUGAGACACGGUCCAGACGCCUACGGGAGGCAGCAGUAGGGAAUCUUCCGCAAUGGGCGAAAGCUUGACGGAGCAACGCCGCGUGAGUGAUGAAGGUCUUCGGAUCGUAAAACUCUGUUAUUAGGGAAGAACAAAUGUGUAAGUAACUAUGCACGUCUUGACGGUACCUAAUCAGAAAGCCACGGCUAACUACGUG